This 32747-nucleotide long non-coding RNA is filed under the name Hordeum vulgare. RNAcentral describes it as "long non-coding RNA (HVUL_LNC008637)". Lineage: Eukaryota; Viridiplantae; Streptophyta; Magnoliopsida; Poales; Poaceae. The record is from RNAcentral.
CGACGAUCGAAUCUCGCGCAAGUAACAUACCGAAGGACAAAGGGAAUGACAUACGGGAUUAUAUGAAUCCUUGACACUAAGGUUCAACCGAUAAGAUCUUCAGAGAAUAUGUAGGAUCCAAUAUGGGCAUCCAGGUCCCGCUAUUGGAUAUUGCCCGAGGAGUACCCCGGGGCAUGUCUACAUAGUUCUCGAACCCGCAGGGUCAGCACACUUAAGGUUCGGCGAUGUUUUAGUAUAGUUGAGUUAUAUGUGUGGUUACCGAAUGUUGUUCGGAGUCUCGGAUGAGAUCACGGACGUCACGAGGGUUUCGGAAUGGUCCGGAGACGAAGAUUGAUAUAUAGGAUGACUUCAUUUGGUUACCGGAAGGUUUCCGGGCAUUACCGAGAUUGUACCGGGAGUGACGAAUGGGUUCCGGAUGUUCAUCGGGAGGGGGGCAACCCACCCAGGGGAAGCCCAAAGGCCCUAGGGUUGGCGCACCAGCCCUUAGUGGGCUGGUGGGACAGCCCAAGAGGGCCUAUGCUCCAAGGAAAGAAAAACCAAAGAGAAAAAAAGAGAGGUGGGAAGGAAGAGAAGGACUCCACUUUCCAAUCCUAGUUGGACUAGGAUUGGAGUACGACUCCUCCUCUCCCUUGGCAGAUGCACCCUUGAGGGCUUGGCCCUCAAGGAAAGCCUCCUUCCCCUCCCUCCUAUAUAUAGUGGUGAUUUAGGGCUGAUUUGAGAUAACUUUUGCCACGUGCAACUCAGAUGUAGACAACAUAUUUCUACCUCUAGAUCGUAUUUCUGCGGAGCUUGGGCGGAGUCCUCCAGGAGUAGAUCCUUCACCACCUCCGGAGCGCCGUCACGCUGCCGGAGAACUCAUCUACUUCUUCGUCUUGCUUGCUGGAUCAAGAAGGCCGAGAUCAUCGUCGAAUUGUACGUGUGCUGAACGCGGAGGUGUCGUCCGUUCGGCACUAGAUCAGAACGGAUCACGGGACGGAUCGUGGGACGGUUCGCGGGGUGGAUCGAGGGACGUGAGGACGUUCCACUACAUCAACCACGUUUCUUAACGCUUCCUGCUGUGCGAUCUACAAGGGUACGUAGAUCCAAAUCUCCUCUCGUAGAUGGACAUCACCAUGAUAGGUCUUUGUGUGCGUAGGAAUUUUUUUGUUUCCCAUGCAACUUCCCCAAAAGUGGUCUUGGUUCACCUUUGCUCAAUGACGAAGCAAUGACGCCUCCCCAACCUGCUAAUCGUUUCGACCGCCCGUGGCGGAUCUCCCAGUCAAGGUUCGUGUUUAGUUUGGCACUCGUUGGUUAUGGUUGAUCCUUUGUUGUGUCGUGGGGCUCGAUACGCACGCCGGUGCGGAGCAUUAGGUUGUUUGCAGAGUCUUGGUAUUGUGAUCAUUUGACAACACCCCACAUCUACUUGUGUCUCUCGUGGUGGUGGUCUUUCUACAUGCUAGCUAGGUCAUGCAUUCUCGUGGGUGGCAAUUUUUUUUCUCAUCUUCUGUAAUCUUGUUACUUGUAUGGUUUUCUACCGGUUUUCCUCAUAAACGGGGUCAACCUAUUUAUAUUUUUGAUCCAGUUUUCCUUUGAACUGGAUCAACCAAAGCUCAAAGGAUGACUCUUGGCUUUGACAACUUUUUCGGCAAUAUAUUCACGUGGGGAUCAUCUCCCCCGUGAUCGUUCAAAAAAAACACAACUAGUACAUUAGAGCAACUCCAACUGGCCGACCCAAACGGACGGUGAUUUUAUCCUUUUUUCAUCCGUUUGGGUCGCCAGCUCGCUGUGUGUCCGCCCACUUUAGGAUUUGGGUCAACAGUGCGCCCAACGCGCCGACCCAUAUUUGUCCGCAUGGCCGGCUAGCCGCCGUUUUUUAACAAAUACAAACAUUUUGCAUAUUUUUUCAGAAGCAAAUGAAAUAGCAUAGUUCCACAACCAAAAUAAUAAUAUAGCAAAGUUUUACAAGCUCAAUAAAAGUUAAAUUGUCUUAAAAAGAUACAUCUAUUGGUUGCCAACAUGACCCCACAUAUGCUCAACCAAAUCAUCUUGAAACUGAAUAUGAGUUUCCCAAUCACGCAUUUCAUGAUGAAAUUGGGUGAACUGUGCAAGCGAUGCCGCUCCUCCGCCACGCCGAGGCACCACAUUGUCACCCUCAAAACCAAACCCUUGAUCGUGGAGACGUUCCGGGCGCUCAUCCUCUACGAUCAUAUUGUGCAUGAUCACACAAGCAGUAGCAUGAUACCUAACUAUGCCCCAUCGAGAUUGCAAAACAUCAAAGGCACGUUCGACAUCCUUCCUAUCACUCUCUUGCUCUUGGGAAAAUCUUUUCCUCUUCUCUGCGACAGGAUUGGAGAUUGUCUUCACAACAGUGGUCCAUUGUGGAUAGAUUCCGUCAACUAGAUAGUAUCCUUUGCUGUAGCUGUGACCGUUGAUGUUAACAUCGAACAACGUGUUGUUGCCUUUGGCAAGCCUUGUAAACACCGGCGAACAUUGAAGCACGUUCAUAUCAUUGUGUGAUUCGGCCAUGCCAAAGAAAGAGUGCCAGAUCCAGAGAUCUUGAGAGGUCACGACCUCAAGUAUGACAGUGCAAGCCUUGACAUGGCUCUUGUACUAGCCUUGCCAAGCAGAAGGGAAGUUCUUCUACUCUGAAUGCAUGCAGUCUAUGCUGCCAAGCAUCCCUGGGAAGCCCUGCCUAACAUUGGUCGCCAACAAGCGGGUUGUGUCUCUAACAGUCAGCUCUCUCAAGUACCCAGGGCCAAACACUGCAACCACAACUUUGCAGAAUCUGUGCAAUGACUCUAGGCACGUAGACGCACUCAUACACACGUACUCAUCGAUAAGAUCACUGGGUGCUUCGUAAGCAAGCAUCCGGAUAGUUGCAAUGCAUUUCUGAUAAGAUGAGAAGCCAAUCUUUCCAAUGACAUCCUCUUUGCACUCGAAGUAGUCAUCGUAUCUGACCACCCCCUCUCGAAUCCGGUUGAAAACAUGCCUAGCCAUACGGAAACGCCGCCGAAAUUUCUGAUGUUUGAACAACGGAUUGGUUGUGUCAAAGUAGUCCUUCCAUAAAAGGAAAUGACCGCUCUCUUGGUUGCGAUUCAACGCCGGAACAUGCCCCAGAAUCGAGCCCCGGAACAACGGCCGCUGCCUAUUAAGGUGGUCAUGGACCAACACAACAAGCAGCAUCUCCUCAUCGUCGGAUGAGGAACCAUCGGAGUUGCACAAAAUAUUAUGGAAAAAGAACUCGUCGGCGCAGUCCAUUUGUACCUUGAGGCAAACUGUUGAACAACUUGCGGGCGUGGACAACGAAGUUGACCGACGGCGUCGGAUUGGGGGUCGGGGAAGCCGUGGUGGCCCGACGGCGAUGCGGCUGGCGGCGUGGGUAGGUGUCGGUGUUUGGGGAGGUACGGGAGGAGGCGCUGGUGGCCGAGGCACAGAAACUGGGCGGCGGCGGCGAUGGGGUGGGGGCGAGGCGAGGGCUAGCUGUCGGUAGGGAUGGAGAACGACCAAUGUGCCACCGACUAGCGGGCGAGGGGAAGGAGUACGCGCGCGCCGUCCGCGUUCGUUUUGUGUCCGCGCCGAUCCAAAUCAGACUCAAAAUUGGGCCGAAAUGGGUCCGCGGACGAAAAGCGGACGCACGUCCGUUUGAAUCGGCGUGUUGGACCGAUUUUUCUGUCCGCGUGGACCCAAACGAACGACGGCGGAUGAAAUGGGUCGUCCUUGCUAUUAUAGCUAUCACAUAAACAAAACAAUUGUGGAAUUUGUGACACUUGUCUUGCACACUGUUAUUGACUGUUUCUUUCUUGAGCAAUUCCAACAUGGAUGCAGUUUUGUUCUCUUCUUCUUGACACGUUUUGGCCUUUCGGGGGGCAGGCUGUUUUUCUCGUUGCUGCCCACCGAUUCUCCUGAAAACGGGCUAGCGAGAAGGCGAAGCAAAGCUAGGCGAAAAGCGUGCGUCACUUGUCUCGCACUUCACUUCCCCAUGGCCCACGUGCUCCAGCGGCCGAGCCGGAGCAGAGAUCCCGCCGCCACCUGUCCCCUGACGAGCAAAUCACACCGUUGCUACUAAAUAAAUAAAACACCCAAAGCCAAAACCCGAGCUGAGAAAAUCCCGGCCGCCUCUCCCUGGCCGCACCGCCGCGAUCACUCCCUCCCCUCCUCCCACCCGCCGGCGCCGCCGGCCAUGGAGGACGCCUACGCCAAGUCCGUCGCGGAGGUAAGCCGCCGCCGCCGCCGCCGCAUCUAGCCCCCGCCUCGCGCCAUAGCUUUGACCUCCCCCGCUUCGCCCCCGCCGCCUCUCACGGAUCUGGUCGCCGCCCGUCCUCGCAGGUGCUCGAAGCUUUCGGCGUGGACCGGACCAAGGGCCUCUCCGACUCGCAGGUGCUGCUCCGGAGCCGUCCGCGCUGUGGUUUUUUUGGUCUGGGUUGCGGGGAAUGGGGGACUGAUUUGGUUUCUGGCUUGUGUGGGCAGGUGGAGCAGCAUGCGUUGCGCUACGGCAAAAAUGGUGAGGAGCUUCUUACUGCAUUAUGCGUUUUGAUUCGUUCAUUGUCCUAUUAUGGGUUUAAUUAAUGGGCGCCGAACUGUUUGUGAUAAGUAAGUAGACAAAAUGGAGAGAAGGAUAUGUGGUUUCGUCGGAGUCGAGUAAGCAAGUUCUCCAGACGAGGAAUAGUCUGGUGCCUUUCCACCAAUCUCGAAAUACAUCCUAUCCAAAUUCAUCGGAAUAGAUUUUGUUUUAUUUUGCACAAAGCGGCUAUUUAUACAAGCAGAUUACUAAUUCUCGGUAUAUUUGCGUUGGUGCUUACUUCCUAGCGACUAGAACCGUCUAAAACCAGAGCAUUUCUAAAUAAGGAGGCGUGGUUUGCAUGCGUCCUUUUUUUGUACUAGGGACUCCACAGCCUAUAAUUGCUGUUAUUAACCGACAUAAACAUUUUUUCACGUACGCAAUGCCAUAACCCAGACAUAUCAACUUUUAUAAUCCGGGGAAUGAAAUUUGAAAGUCACUGUAAUGCUGAUUUAACUGAAUUGAUACAGCUUUCAUACUUUGGAUGUACUACUCCGUCCCAUAAUGCAAGACGUUUUUUGACACNNNNNNNNNNNNNNNNNNNNNNNNNNNNNNNNNNNNNNNNNNNNNNNNNNNNNNNNNNNNNNNNNNNNNNNNNNNNNNNNNNNNNNNNNNNNNNNNNNNNNNNNNNNNNNNNNNNNNNNNNNNNNNNNNNNNNNNNNNNNNNNNNNNNNNNNNNNNNNNNNNNNNNNNNNNNNNNNNNNNNNNNNNNNNNNNNNNNNNNNNNNNNNNNNNNNNNNNNNNNNNNNNNNNNNNNNNNNNNNNNNNNNNNNNNNNNNNNNNNNNNNNNNNNNNNNNNNGUGUCAAAAAACGUCUUACAUUAUGGGACGGAGGAGUAGUUCAGACCCUUACCAUUUCCUCAGUAAAACUUGAAAGCUUCAGUCGAGACUCCUGCACAAUUUCUUGAGGGCAGACAUAUUUAUGUUAUCAUCUACUUUUUCAUUGCGGUGUUCACACAUGAUUUUUGUUAUCAUAAUUGUGGCCACUAACUGAUUGCUGCACUUUCUUUUCGUGCAUGGAUUAUCUGCAGUGCUGCCCCAAGAAGAAAGUAAGUUGUCAGCUCUAACUUCUAAUGUUCAUUUUAUGUACGGCAACACAUUUCGUAUUACCUGUUACACCUUUUCUCCAAAGUGUUUGCCGUCAGAAAAUGUUGGUACUUGGUAUUCCAUUAUCUCUGUCUUACCCCAUUUACUCUUUCUGAAUAACUGAAUAUAAGCGAACCAUGGAUUGACAAGGAUGCAUUGCAACUACGAGUCCUCUUAGUUGACAUACUAAUGAUUAUAUGGCAAGUUUAAAAGUUGGAUGUUUUAUGAGAAGGAUAGUAUCAUUGAAAUGUCUAAGCUCUACCCUUUGUUAAUUUCCAUGUAAAAACGAUUUAUUUUGGUAAGGUAGUAGAAAAAUGUUAAGGGUAGUAUAGUAGUAUGCUUUUAUAGGUAUUUGUUAGUGUUGGAUUGAAUCAAUAUGCCCUUUGGGCUCGUUUAAUGCAUCCAAUUGUGCUGUUUCUCCGCAGAUACAAGACAUAACCUAAGGCAUACUCCCUCUGUCUCAAAAGAACUGCCUCAACUUUGUAUUGGCUCUAGUACAAAUUUGUACUAAGCUUAAGACAUUUAUUUUGUGAUGGAGGGAGUACAUAAUAUUCAUACUACCCCUGAACAUCCUUUACCUUGGAUGAUGACUUGUCGUAGCAUGCUUUUGCAAAUAUUAUGUUAGACAAAUACCUUGUUGGAUGAUCACCAAAUUAUAUUGUAUUGGGUCUUUGUUGUUUUCUUUGCCACCAGCUAUAGAAGUUAAGUUUAUUGAAGUUCAUAACGACUAACUCAGAUUCUGUUCUAGGAGGAUUUUACAAAUAAGUAAAUAAAAUCAUAACCAGAACAAAUGAAUAAGUUUUUCAAGGAAGAUAAAUAGAUAAAGGAAAAUUAGUUUUGUUUCCCUUUAUUCAUCAUCUAUUAACGUGAAAUUUCUGACCCAGGUACCCCCUUCUGGAAGUUAGUUUUGAAGCAGUUUGAUGAUUUACUUGUCAAAAUAUUGAUAGCAGCUGCCGUGGUAUCCUUCCUUUUGGCUCGAUUGAAUGGUGAAACUGGAUUAACAGCAUUUUUGGAACCAUCUGUAAGUUGAUCCACUUUGGGGGAUAUAUCCUAUGUGAGGAAGAUGAUUUUCAUGUGCCACAUGGAGGCAGUAACUAACAAGAUGGCCUUUAUUUCGAUUGCAUAGGUCAUAUUUAUGAUAUUAGCAGCAAAUGCAGCAGUUGGUGUGAUCACAGAAACAAAUGCUGAAAAAGCUCUCGAGGUUAUUACUUUUGAACAAGGCUCUAAUGUCGUGCUUAAUUCUCUAGAUCUGGUUUACUGCUGUUUGAUAUGUUUUUCUUUUUGCACGUGCUGUGAGAUAUUAUGUGUGGCUAUGUUUUCUCGUUUCCCUCUUUUCCUCAAACAUCAUACAAAUUACUUCGAUGUGAAACUUGGAAUGUUUAAAUGGCUGUUAUUUAAUCUCUUGGAUGCAUAAUCGUGGAUACACCAUGUUUACCCUGGUCAUUUUCUCUUGUUUUCACUCCCUUAUAGUUUGUAUCACAUAUUUGGAGCAAUACUAAGAGUACUGAUUUUGGUCCUAAUUAUUCUUUUUCUGCACAUGGUUAAUCUUAACUCCAUAUGCUAGUUACUUAACUUCGUCUUGUACUGUGUGACUACAAUUGGCAUUGGAAUGGCCAACUCUUGUUGUCCAUCCACAUGACUCUCUUAUGAAAAAACCUGCAGGAGUUGCGAGCAUAUCAAGCAGAUGUUGCAACAGUGCUGCGCAAUGGUAAUUUUUUUCCGAAUUGAUUAUUGCAUUUCAAGUGUGUAAGCAUAUUAUCACACAAUUAUUUGUUUGCAGUCUUCUGAUUGAACUUUUGUUAAUUAUGACUAUGAGUUGCAUCUACUCUUCAGUUUUGAAAUUGGAAACAUGUACCUGUAACCAUUCCACUUGAAAAAUUCAAAAUGUCAACAAAAUCCACUUGCUUUGUCACAGCAGGUUGGUUUGUUUGAGCUGGACCCAUGGAAUGCCGUGCUUAUCGAGUUAUCGUAGAACUUGUUGAGGUGUUCCAUAAGAAGGGCAUCAUUCUCUUGUGAGAGAUUGAUGAUGCCAAUGUCACUUUUGGAUUUGGGUUUAGAUACAUUGUCACAGGCUGCUAAAGAUCCGAUUCUGUCUGAAUAUCAUGGACACACCAUGUCAAGAAGCAGAGUCUUGUGCAAACCUUAGUCCCUGUCAGCUGUUUGUUUUGUGCAUGUCCUUUGCGUGCAUGUACAUGUGUCAUUAAAGUCGGAGUUGGGCUGCACUUGCAGCUUUUUUAAAGGUUGGUUUGGAAGACGACGAAUUGAAGCAAAAAUGCUCCGACUAAGAGCAACAUUUAAUUACACCAUACUUUCUUGCUACAAAAGUGCCUUUUAAUCAGCUUCCACCUGGGUAACGAUCCUUGUAUUUGUUGACCUGUGAAAACAAAGAAACACAAAGGUCCUUUGCGUUUUCUCGAAAAAAAAGUGUUUAUCUUGAUAUUUGCGAUUGGAUUGAUAUAUCUUCACUUGAAAGACUCGUUAUUAAAUAUUACUAGUAACCUCUGUUCCUAAAUAUAAGACGUUUUAUAUUCAUAUGAUUGAGUCACUUGUCAAUGUUCAAUUUGUUAGGUUGUUUUUCUAUACUUCCAGCAACGGAACUUGUCCCUGGAGAUAUUGUAGAAGUGGGAGGUACUGUUCAAGUCCAUUCAAGUUAUUUCCAUUUAGCAUAAUGCUGAGUAUGUUCCUGAUCUAACUUGGUUACACCUUGUUUCUUAUGUGUAGUUGGUUGCAAAGUUCCAGCUGACAUGAGAAUGGUUGAAAUGCUAAGCCAUCAAUUGCGUGUUGACCAGGCAAUUCUAACAGGUAUUUUUUGCGUUGUCCUGUGCUAUCCUCCUGUUCAUCCUAAUAUUAACUGAAGUGUACUAGUUUGUCGUGGCAAUCUUGUUUUAGAGAACAGGAGAAAUGUUAUGCCCUUUUUUGAUCAAUGCAUUUGAUUUGGCAAUGUAAUUGUCGCUAAAGACAUUAUUAGGUGCAUGGUAUAACCUAUGAAGGGCUAACAUAUGUGUUUCUGAAUCACUUGUUUAUUUUGUGCAUUAUUCUAGGGGAAAGCUGUUCAGUGGCUAAAGAGCUUGAUUCAACUUCAGCAAUGAAUGCUGUCUACCAGGACAAAACAAACAUUCUUUUCUCGGUAGGUGUAUAUCAAGCUGACUGCCACUCAAUAUCUCGGUAGUCACAUAGAUCUAUCGAUUUUUUAAUAGCGUUCAGUAGGGAACUAAUCAAGUAAACAUGAUUUUUUAAGUGAAAAUAUCUAAACCCCCAUGCGAACCGUUGGAUGAGGGAUGGUGAAUCAGAUUGCAAUGUCCUGAAAAUGUAGGAGUCAUGUGAGUCUGUUAUUCAGGAUAUUUCCCUCAUUUUUUCUCCGUUGUGGAAACACUGCUAGUACGUACACUUGUUCGCUCAUAAUAAUUGAAAUCUGUGCUAGCAAUCUUUUGUCCUCUCUGAUUAUUUGCAAGCAUAUUCGUUUGGCAGUUAGAUGAGAUCGGGAAACGAUGUAUAAAAAUAUGCAGUUUGAUAUGUUUAAGUCUUUGUAGGAUUGUCAGAUUAUCUUUUGAAACCUUAGUGUAAAUCUCACAUUUGAGAAGUUGUAACACAUAGAAGGGUUGAAAAAGGUGUGUCUAGGCGCCACCUAGGGGUGCAAAAGCACCAGGAGACAGCAGAAUAUGUAGCCUUGGCUCUAGGUUUUCUGCCGAGGAAGCGUUUUCACUGGCAACGCUCGGUGACGAGGGACAAGGAGGUGGUGUGUGAAGAUUGAAAAUGGACGACUGCAGCAAGGUAAGAAAAUGUGGUGGUGGGUGGCCACCCGUGACGGCGUGUCAUCAGUGAUGGCGUUGCAUCUGUUGUUGCUCAUGUGGUCAUGGUAACAGCGGCAGCACGAUCUGUAGGCAGAUCUGAACCAUGAUGUAACUAAAGCAGCAACUUCGUGGGCAAAUGGGCCUGGUGGGGCCUUAUUUUCUUCCUUUUUCAUUUCAGCUUUUGCCCUUUAACCCCUCUAAUUUCUACCUGCUUGAACCGUGAAGCCUGAAGCUAUGGCUAUCAUGCAGAGCGCGCCACUUAGGUUUGUCCAUCCAGAUCACGGUACAUGUUGAAUUAAAAAAAGAAGAAGAUCACGGUACAUGUUCAGAUUGCUCUGGACUUUAGAGGAACAUAUUUCAGGCUGCCAAGACGCUGCAUUAUAGCAGCAAUAUACACAGUGGCGAAGCCACACUAUGGCUGUGUAGUCAAUUGACUACACAGCUUUUGAUAAAAACCUUCUAAAUAUUCAAGUAAACUUUAUCCAUAAAUUCAGAAAUACUAUAAGAUUUGGAGAGGAAUUAUAGUUGACAUCACAGGUUUAUUAUCCUGGCACCGCCACUGAAUAUACAUGUUCAGACUGCUCUGGAUUUUAGAAGAAUAAAUUUCAGGCUACUGCUACUAGGCGGCAAAAAACUCCUGCCUAGCAUCCAUCGCCUUUUUAAACCUAAAAAAAGUAGAUAGAUCUUCAACUGCUGAAAUUCGAAGUGCAGGGUCAUUUUUUUCUUCAAAUUACAUCUCAAAGAACACUCACUUUUAAAAUUUUCUCAUUACCGCCAUUAGCCAGUUGCUUCUUCUGAACUUUGCAUGCUGCCUGAUGUCUUUGCUUCCCAGGGUACUGUUGUUGUAGCUGGUAGAGCAAGAGCUGUCGUUAUUGGUGUUGGUUCUAAUACUGCAAUGGGAAGUAUACGUGAUGCAAUGCUGAGAACAGAGGAUGUAAGCAUUCAAUUUGCUUCUCAUUUGUGUAUAAAAUUUGGUAAUGGUGUCUCUCAUUCAAAUUAUAUGUUUCACUUUAUCUUUUUGCUGCUCUAGUAUUGUUUUGUGUCUUAGCACUAUGAUUGCUUUAUAUAUAGUGGCAAUUUAACGUAUUCCCACACAUCCAGGAAGCAACUCCACUGAAGAAAAAACUGGACGAAUUUGGCACAUUUCUGGCAAAGGUAGAUGACCACGGUCUUUUCCAACAUGUUAUGAGUAGUUUUCGUUUCCAAAAUUAAGUGUCAACAUUGCCUGAAAAAUUAUGACUGAAGCAAAUGUAUGGAGACAUUUACUAGAAGAGAACCUGAUAAAAAAUUCAGGAAAGCUAACAACAAUUGAAUCUUAUUUACCUUUGCUCAAGAGCCUUAAUGGUUUAAUAUAUUCAUUUACAUUUCUCUUGCAACAUCAGCAACUUUAUGAUCGUAGUUUUGCUCCCAAAUUUUAUGUAGCUUUUCCAUUUUUGUACUUGAGUGUUUGAUCCAUCUCUUAUUAAUUAAUUUGGAUGCCCUUUAUUUGUGCUCAUAGCCUCAUAUGUUUUCCUAACCUGUAAGUUGCACAUAUCUAAAUUAUACUGAAGUCAUGUUUACCUAGCUAGGGUUGCAGGUCCAUGGCAUGAUGCAUGUCUGAUAGAUUAGAGACUUGGAGAGGCAUAUUAAUUCUAGUCUAAAACAAAGUCCAACUCAGAUUAGAAGUUGACCAGAAACAUAAGUGUGAUUUCAGUGUAUUUUGUGAAAAUAUUACAUGUGCUAAUGUGGAAAAUAUUAGAACGACAAAAAGAAUGGGUGAAAUAUAAGCUCGGUUGACAGUGAAUCACCGUUGCUUCAGGAAUCAUAUAGUUUGAAGUUCAAAUGUUUUUUCAGGCUUAAUCAGUUUUUUUAUUUUUAUUUUCAGGUUAUAGCAGGGAUCUGUAUUCUUGUUUGGGUUGUAAAUAUUGGCCAUUUCCGAGAUCCUUCUCAUGGUGGCUUUCUUAGGGGUGCCAUUCAUUAUUUUAAGGUAUAUCACUAUUCCUAUUCUGUCUGAAUGUACGUUUAUUGGUAUUUGCUCAUUGUAGGUUCUGUAAUAUAAUCAGCAGAAAUUUGCUUGUUGUGUGUUAAGCCAGAGUGCAGAAUUUGGUAUCGUUGGUUCUCUUUCGUAGAUUUUAUCUGCAUGAAAGCUACUCCCUCCAUUCCUAAAUAUAAGUCUUUUUAGAUAUUUCACUAGGGGACUACAUACGGAGCAUUUUUUUUUCGAGAAAGCGCUGCGUUUCAUUAUAUUGGAAAGAUAGAGUUUGUUACAGUCCUCCUAGGAGGCAGGAUACAAGCAUUCUAAUGCUACUUAGUGUACAUCCCAUGUCUGCGGUAGGAUAACCCGAAGCCCUUUGGCACCAGCCCUUGCCCAUAAGGUAGCCUCCUCUUUGAUUUUCGACAGUAGUGCAGCAAUUGAGGGUUGUGCCCUGUCAAAAACGCAAUCGUUGCGGUGCUUCCAUACCAUCCAGGGUAGGAGCAGGGUGAUGGAUGCCAGCCCUUUUCUCUGUGGGUGGGGGGUGCUUUGUCGCGCGCGGUUCCACCAGUCCAGCAGCGAGUCCGCCUGGUUGGGGCAUCCUACUGGCAAUCGAAACCACACGAGGACCUCGUGCCAAAUCUGUUGGGUGAAUGGGCAUUCGAUGAUGAUGUGGUGGAUGGUCUCGAAGGCCUGGUCGCAUAGAAGGCACCAUGGAUGGUGCUGCAGGCCGCGCCGGGCGAGUCGGUCUGCAGUCCAGCAUCUGUCCUGCUGCGCAAGCCAGAGGAAGAACCUAACCUUUGGCGUCGUCCAUGCCUUCCAUAUCAUCUUCCAAGCAGGGCAGGUUACUGAUCCAUGGAACGUGGCGAGGUAGGCAGACCGUGCUGAGUAUGUGCCCGUGGUAGUCCAUUUCCAUAGCAGGCGGUCGGGCUCCUCGGUGAGGAUGGUGUCCGCGAUCAUCUGCCAGAGCUGGAGAAACUGCCCGAUCUCGUGUAUGCCAAGCACGCCCUGGAUGUCGCGGGUCCAGCUAUUUCCAUGUUGGCCUUGUGCCACCGUCCUCUGCUUCCGCCGUCGCUUGGGGCAGCAGGCAUAUACCAGCGGCGCGAUCUCGCUGAUUGAUCGCCCCUGGAUCCAGCGAUCCUCCCAGAAUAGGGCCGUCUGCCCGUUUCCCAGCUCCAUGGUCGUGGAGGCAAAAAACAGUGCACGCUCGGUGGCUGAGAAUUGAAGGUCGAGCCUAGCCCAUGCGUGAUCUAUGUCUGUUUGGGAGAACCAUAGCCAUCUCAGCCUUAAUGCAAGCCCAGCACGCUCAAGGUCGCGUACGCCUAAGCCUCCAAGGGAGAUAGGCCGGCACGCGCGUCGCCAAUUGACAUGGCAAUGCCCUCCCUUAGCUUCGGCUCUUCCGGCCCAUACGGAGCAAAAUUAGUGAAUCUAUAUUCUAAAGUAUGUCUAUACAUCCGUAUGUAGUCCCCCAUAAAAAUCUCUUAAAAGGCUUAUAUUUAGGAACGGAGGGAGUACAUUCACACAAAUUAGCUGGGGUUAUUGUUGUCAGGCUCUAUAGUGCAUGCAUCUGUAGAAUGACAUUGUUUAUAGUCAUUCUCAUAUGCUCAGGUCAUUUUAUGAUGUUGCACAGCAUGGUCUGUACCUGGAAACUCGAUCGUUUAGAUGUGGUUGAUGCUAGCAAUUUUCGUUUCAUUCAAGUUGACUGGCUUAAAAAUCUUAAAUGGGUUCCUUGUUCAUAUAGUUGUGUCCAUUAAGUGGACCUACCUACAUGCAUUUGAUAAAGAGCUGUCAAUCCACUUCGGUUAGGCAUUGUUAUUUGAAUACUUCCCAUUACAAGCAAGUCAUUUUAGCCCUAAGAACUUUUCUUUAAGUAUAGAUCGUUCUACAACCUUGAAGCUUAUUUACUCAUUGUUUUGUCUUAUAGUUAUGCCCUUCAUAGUAAGUGUGCACGUUCUCAUCGAUAAUGAAGCUUUCUAACAUAUUGAAUGAAAAAAUGAUAGUGUUGCAUUCAACCGCCAUUAAUCAUCGUGCCUAACAUUGAUUUCUUGAAAAUAUGAACUGUUUUCUUUUGAUAGGUAGCAGUUGCCCUUGCUGUUGCAGCCAUUCCAGAAGGUCUCCCAGCUGUAGUAACAACGUGAGUUCCUUACAAACAAUUUGUAGCUUUCCAGUAGUACCAAAUAAAACAUUUUAUGUGAUUCAGUUGAUAUAUCAACAAAAAGUAUCUGAUUUAAAUCUGUAAUUUGAAGGUGUCCUUAAUAUCUCCAACUUUACCAAUGUUUGUUAUAGCAUAAUGUUUCUCUCAGUCAGUUAGUUCUUAAUUAUUAUCCCUCCGUUCCAAAAAGCUUGUCGUGGUUUUAGUUCAAAUUUGAACCACGAUGAGUAUUUUGGAACGGAGGGAGUAAUAAAGCACAAAAUAGAUUCAGAUUUUAUUAAAAUGAGAAGUGCGAUCAGUUGGAAUUUGGAAAUGUGAACUUUGGAAAUUUGAAAGAGUGUAUGACACGCUAAGUCAUUGGGAUUUAUACAUUAACGUAAUUACUUAAUCCCAUGGUCUGAUAGCUAGUUACGGAACUUGGCUUCCUUGUAUAUGGUGUGAAUAAUUUCUGCUGCUUGCCACAAAAUUAGUCAUUUUUGACUGACCCUUUUUGAGCAGGAGAGAAUUGAUCUUGUUCGUUUGUCUCACCCAUGACUCUGGUUAAGAAACAAGAAACAUGAUACUGCCCAUUACCAAUCCUAUCCUCAGUCUAGAUAUUCUAAGUUUCUUGUUCAUUUAAUAUUGAAGCGUAGUGGUUUACUUUGUUCUUUCUUGAAGUGAGUGUAACAUAUCAUUGGUUCAUUUUUACUUCUAGGUGCUUAGCUCUUGGUACCAAGAGAAUGGCUCGCUUGAAUGCUAUCGUCAGAUCUUUGCCCUCUGUGGAGACAUUAGGAUGCACAACAGUCAUUUGCAGUGACAAAACUGGCACUCUUACUACAAACAUGAUGUCCGUGUCUAAGGUGAACACUCUAGUUUACAGCAUCAUUUAUUGUUUAGUGUGCAGUGGGAUUUAACUAAAAUACAAUAUGCGCUUUAAGAUUAAUGUCUCUUACACUUGGUCAAUAUAUUAUGUUCACCGCAUAACUAACAAGUGUCUUAAUAUCCCAGGUAUGUGUUGUGCGGUCUGUGCACCAGAGACCAAUAACUGAUGAAUACUCUAUUAGUGGAACCACAUUUGCUCCUGAUGGGUUUAUAUAUGAUGCCAGUGAAAAUCAGGUACAAUGAAGUAUUUCUCAGCUGUCACUAAUUUGGUGAUCAUUGUAGUGCACGGCCUGAACCCGUAUUUUCAUGUGUCUUAACAGCUGAAAUUACUCUUUCUUGACUGCAGUACAAGAACACAUUGUGGAAAUGAUACCAAAUUAUCAACUGUUACAACCCAUGACGCAUGAUCAAGAUUGUUACAGUUCACUAGUCUUGUAGCCAUUACUGUACAGCUUUACCAGGGAAUGUCUUGCAUUAGAGUAGAACAACAGUGUACGAUAGUGCAUAGCAUAGCAACAAUAGACAUAGCCCUCUAGAGGCUGAGUUUAGUACACAACUUUUGACUGAGAUGUAUGUGACAGCUCUACCUAGCAAGACAAAUGUUAGGCCCUUAUAGAUGGAUUAAUAGUGUGACCACUCAUAUCAGUAUAUUAGCUACCUGUGGAACCCUUUGGGUUAUUUAUCGAGUGACCAUGAUGUCCCUUACUCAGUGUGCAAAACAUUGAUAUAUGUCACAUUUGGUUUAGGCACUAACUUUUCAGGUGGCUUUCAUCUGUUGCAGCUGGAGUUUCCUCCUCAAUCCCCCUGCCUCCUUCAUAUAGCCAUGUGUUCAGCUCUUUGCAAUGAGUCAACUUUACAGUACAAUCCUGAUAAAAAAAGUUAUGAGAAAAUUGGAGAGUCCACUGAAGUUGCUCUGCGCGUUCUGGUGGAGAAGGUCAGUCGUUAGUUAUGAAAUCUGCUUAUCAGUGCACUUUUGAUGGCUUUCAUGGGAACUAUCAAUCUCAAUUUUCAUUUUGUUGAUUUAUUAGGUUGGUCUUCCUGGUUUUGAUUCGAUGCCCUCAGCCCUGAACAUGCUAACUAAGCAUGAGCGUGCAUCCUACUGCAAUCAUUAUUGGGAAAAUCAGUUCAGAAAGGUUAUAUGCAUCUACUUGUUGGCAUUUAUAUAUUGAUCGCGUGUUCUGUGGCCCUGUAUUUGCAGUUCCCUUGAAGAGUACCCCUUGCCCAAACCCUAUCUCAGCUACUACCAUUUAUAAGGAACUUCCUUGAUCAUGAACUUGUUCUGCUAGCAUAAGCAGGCAUUAGAAACAUCAUCCUUCUGUUAGUUGUUAAAAAAUAUACAUGUCUGAUACUUUAUGCAAAGUACCUCAAAGUUCUUGUGGUAUCAGCAGUUGUUCCUCCCACAUACUAGGCAGGUUCUAUAGGACGGCGAUUCGGCCCGCAAUCUUGUAUGGUGCUGAGUGUUGGCCGACUAAAAGGCGACAUGUUCGAUAUACGGGAUAGUUGGAGUAGCACCGAUUGAGGAGAAGCUUGCCCAACAUCGUCUGAGAUGGUUUGGCCAUAUUUCAGUGCAGGCCUCCAGAAGCUCUAGUGCAUAGCGGACGGCUAAAGCAUGCUGAAAAUGUCAAGAGAGGUCGGGGUAGACCGAACUUGACAUGGGGUUAGUGCGUAAGGAGAGAUCUGAAGGACUGGAAUAUCGCCAAGGCACUAGCAUGGACAGGGGUGCAUGGAAGCUAGCUAUGCACGGGCCAGAACCAUGAAUUGGUUAUGAGAUCUUAUGGGUUUCAGCUCUAGCUUACCUCAACUAGUUUGGGACUAAAGGCUUUGUUGUUGUUAUUGUUGUUGACACUUGGAUGGAAUGUUAUAUGCUAUCUAUUAUAUUAUAUUGCUCACACUUUGACUAUACUGCCUGCCUAUAUGUGGGGGAAACCAUUUUGUAUAUGCUGUAUAGCCUGACUGAUUGUGACUUACUGUAUUUAACUUCAAUUUUGACCCCAUUUCUUCAGAUUUAUAGUAUGAAGUUCUUAUGUUUUUUUCUUUGUGAUUUAUUCUUUAGAUAUCAGUUCUAGACUUUUCCCGAGAUCGCAAAAUGAUGAGCGUCCUUUGCAGUCGAAAACAACAGGAGAUUAUGUUUUCAAAAGGUGCCCCUGAAAGUGUAAUGGCAAGAUGCACACAUAUAUUGUGCAAUGAUGAUGGGUCUUCUGUACCAUUGACUAUGGACAUACGUAAUGAGCUGGAAGCUAAGUUUCAAAGGUCAGCCUUUGCACUUGUAGUUUUUAGGGUCAUGAGGUUGCAUGUUUCUUAAUCGAUGCGAUCAAAUUAUUGAAAUAUUCAAUUCAUAUAGUUAGAUUUAAGAAUAGAAAAAAGGUUAGCCUUUACAUCUGUAUGUAGCUUUUAGGUCAUGAGGUUGUAUGGUUCUUGAUGGAUGUGAUCACAAUAUUGAAAUAUUCAGUUCAUAUAGGCAGAUUUAAUAACAAUAUAACUGACAUUAUUUCUGAUGCGAAGGAACCUUGGUAAUUUUGACCAAACUCUGCCACUAAGUUAGCACUUCCCAAUGUCAUAUUGUUGCAUGAUUCUUUUAUUUUCUCUAAAUAUGCUUGCUGUUUUUUUCUACAGAGAAUGCUUUAGAUAAAUAUGUUCAAUGAUCUCCGAAUGUUUCAGUUUUGCAGGAAAAGAUACCCUAAGGUGCUUAGCACUAGCAUUAAAACGAAUGCCAGAAGGCCAACAAAGUCUUUCCUAUGACGAUGAGGCAAAUCUCACAUUUAUUGGAUUGGUACGCUUUGUCACUACUGCUGGUUCUGCUGUUCCUUCUUUAACAGUCUUCUACGUUUUGUUCACACAUUUUAAUAUAUGCUUUGCCUUUGUAGACAGGUAUGAUUAAUGUUAGUUAAGAUAACAAUGGCACUAAUAAUUGAUAAUGAAAAUUCUUUUGCUACCGGUUCAGGUUGGGAUGCUUGACCCUCCAAGAGACGAAGUUCGCAGUGCUAUCCAUUCUUGUAUGUCAGCAGGGAUUCGUGUUAUUGUUGUUACUGGGGAUAACAAGGUUGGUGAACAUAUUUGUUUAUUUUUGCUCCAAGAUCUUUUGAUACCGCUGAGAAAAUAAAUAUGUGCCAUUUUAGUCCACUGCAGAAUCUCUAUGUCGGCAAAUUGGUGCGUUUGAGCAUUUAGAUGACUUUACAGGGUAUUCAUAUACAGCAUCAGAAUUUGAAGGGCUUCCUCCUUUGGAAAGGGCAAAUGCAUUGCGAAGGAUGGUUCUGUUCUCCAGGUGAUUUGAAUAUCAUUACAACCUUGUUCAAAUUUAGGACAUAGCUACCCCUUGCCGAAUGGGUAAUGACAUAUCCCAGUUUCUCUUGUAAUAAGCUCCAUGAACUUAAUAUAAUGCAAAGUAAUGGAGUAGUAUUCUAUUGCAUUAAAAAUGUUUUUAUUUAUUAUUGAGAUCACCCAGCUCAUUGUUGAUGAACUGCCUGUAGUGACGUACACAACUAUUGCUGCCACAAGCAGUUGUAAGUUGAUUCAAUGGCUGCGAUUGGAGUUCAGUUUUCCUAUUAUUAGUGUGGUUCCUUAGAUUUGUUCCCGUAUUGAGUGCUUUGUUACCAGAGAUGUAGUUCAUUAGAAAAAUAUGGCAUUCACCAUCGCAAUUUUGAAUACUAGUUAUAGCUCCAGUCUAUCACAACCUAGUGGCGCGGAACAUAAUAUAUGCUUACCUAUGUGGCAAGUGACUACAUUGAUGAUACUCAGACAAAAAAGUGGUAAAAUGAUUAAACCAUCGACAGACGUAUGGAUUAAUCACCAUUCUUCCGGUUUUGUACUCUUGACUGCCAUUUUAUACCUGAUUAUUCUUACUGCAGAGUGGAACCUUCUCAUAAGAAGAUGCUUGUUGAAGCCUUGCAAUCACACAAUGAAGUGGUAAGUUUGUACCUGUUGAUAAAGUGUUCAUUGAGUUUCUUUAGUCCUCAUGAUGACGGAACUUAUUUAAUUGCUAUGGAAUUGACCAUGGGAAUUUAUGCUUCACAUUCCACUUCAUGGAAUAAUUCAUUUUACGCAAUAGCCAUGUUCAUUUCACAUGCCAGGUUGCAAUGACUGGUGAUGGCGUCAAUGAUGCACCUGCGCUGAAAAAAGCAGAUAUAGGAAUAGCUAUGGGAUCAGGAACUGCUGUUGCAAAGGUAUUACUUUUUUGAAUGUUAAGGUAUAACUGCUAUAUACUACCUCCGUCCCAUAUUAANNNNNNNNNNNNNNNNNNNNNNNNNNNNNNNNNNNNNNNNNNNNNNNNNNNNNNNNNNNNNNNNNNNNNNNNNNNNNNNNNNNNNNNNNNNNNNNNNNNNNNNNNNNNNNNNNNNNNNNNNNNNNNNNNNNNNNNNNNNNNNNNNNNNNNNNNNNNNNNNNNNNNNNNNNNNNNNNNNNNNNNNNNNNNNNNNNNNNNNNNNNNNNNNNNNNNNNNNNNNNNNNNNNNNNNNNNNNNNNNNNNNNNNNNNNNNNNNNNNNNNNNNNNNNNNNNNNNNNNNNNNNNNNNNNNNNNNNNNNNNNNNNNNNNNNNNNNNNNUUAAUAUGGGACGGAGGGAGUAGAUUAGAAGUAAAUAGGGACAUUGGUAUUCAUUAUCUUGAGAUUUUUGUUUCUUUCAAAAUAUCUUCAGUCAAUCAUGUUCUUCAUGUUUUGGUUGCUUUCACGGUCCUUUUUGAAUUUAAUAAACUUAUGUUUACCUUUAUAUUUCAGAGCGCUUCAGACAUGGUAUUGGCAGAUGACAACUUCGCUACAAUUGUUGCAGUAAGAUUAUGAUCUGACUGAUUAACAUACAAUAAGACAUAACCAUUGGAUCUUAUUAAUGCUUUUUUGUUACUUAAACUUAUUAUUAUCAUUUGCUCACAGGCUGUUGCAGAGGGAAGGGCCAUAUAUAAUAACACCAAGCAGUUUAUUCGAUACAUGAUUUCAUCAAAUAUUGGGGAGGUAGUUUGUAUUUUUGUGGCAGCGGUGCUUGGGAUGCCUGACACACUUGUACCUGUGAGUUGAAACUCUUUCUUAGCUUCCAUGUGUCUUGAGAUGAAAUAUGUGGACUUAUAUUUUGUUCUUGAAUUAAUGUGGCAAAAAAUCACACUGAUAUGUAGCAUGUUUAGGUUGUCAUUAUAUUUUGCCCCCUGUUUACUGCUGUACUCGCUAACAUAAUGUUUGUAACAUGCACAUCGUUCAUAUUUCUGGAGCUUCUUAAUUUUGUCACUGGAUGUAAAAUCUGCUUAUCUCUCUACUCCCAUCACUUUGUAGGUCCAGCUACUCUGGGUAAACCUUGUUACUGACGGGUUGCCUGCAACUGCAAUUGGUUUUAACAAGCCUGAUGGCAACAUCAUGGCAGUUAAGCCUCGUAAGGUAAUAUUAAAAGGGUGUUGCGCCUGAUUUUUUGUUUUUGUUUUGAGGGGAAGGGUGUUGUGACUGAUGAGAGGGAACUUUCCAUCUUAUCAUCAUUGGAUGGAAAAUAUAUUACUUACAUGGGCCAACCUAGGCUAACACGACCAUAUACAUGUAUCUAUACCUAACAGUAAUACAUGUAUCUUAUACCUAACAGUGAUUAGUUUGUAGCUUGUUAUUUCUAUUAUAAACUAAUAUACGUUGUAGGUUGUCCCCAUUAUUAUUUUGAUGGUUAUACUGACUUCAGUUAAAAUUCAUGUAACUUGACAAUGUGUUCUGGCAUUAUCAGGAAUUGUAAAAUCUUAGCAAGUCCACAGUACAGUGGCCUUAUGAAAGCCUCACUUCUUUUUCGAGAAAACGCAUAGAGCCUUGCGUUUCUUUGUAUUGAAAAGAAGGGGGAGUACAGCCUCCUAAGAGGUGAUUACAGCAUUGUUACAGGGGGUUUAGUGGACAUCCCAGGAUGGGGGCAAGACUACCCUAAGCCCUUUGUCCCCGGCUCUAGCCCAGCACCUCAUCUCAUCUUUGAUCCUAUCCAAGAGCUCGUCGAGCGACGGAGUAAUAUGGUCGAAGACACACGCAUUCCUAUGCUUCCAUAUCAUCCAGGGCACCAGUAGUGCGGCGGACCUCAGCGCCUUGCGGAGCGAUGGUGGUGUGGCAUCCCUCGCCCUCAUCCACCAGUCCUGGAUGGAGGCAUCAUGCUCCGGCGACGGGGCCGGUAGACGCAGCCAGGAUAGGGCCUCGUGCCAGGCCUGCCGCGCGAAAGGGCAUGUGAGCAGCAGGUGUCGGAUGGUCUCCGGCUCUUGGUCGCAUAGCAGGCAGCGGGUGUGAUGGGGAAGGCCUCGGCGAGCGAGCCUUUCCGCGGUCCAGCAUCGGUCUAGGUUUGCUAGCCAGUGAAAGAACUUGACCUUCGGUGGGGCCCAUCCCUUCCAGAUGAGCUGCCAUGAACGGCAUGUCAAUGAUCCGUGGAAGGCUGCCCGAUAGCAAGACCUCGCCGAGUAGACGCCGUUGGCCGUCCAUUUCCAAACGAGCUUAUCCGGCUCGUUGGACAGUAUAGUGCGUGCCACAAGCUGCCAUGUCCUCAGGUAUUGGCCGAUCUCUUGCAGACCCACUACGCCGCGAAUGUCUCGAGCCCAGGCAUUGCCGGCGAUGCCUUCCGCCACCGUCCGCACUCUUCUUCUGUUCUUGGGAAUGCAUAGGUAUAGCAGGGGCGCGAGCUCGCGUAUAGAUUGCCCGUGCAGCCAGCGGUCCUCCCAGAACAGAGCAGUGAGACCAUCUCCUACCACCAUGAAGGUGGAGGCAUAGAACAGGCCGAGCUCCUCGUGGGAGAACUGCAGGUCGAGGCCUGUGGAGGCAUAGAACAGGCCGAGCUCCUCGUGGGAGAACUGCAGGUCGAGGCCUUGCCAAGCUCGGUCGGCGUCCGUCCUCGAUAGCCAGAGCCAUCGGAGUCUGAGUGCGAGCCUCGUGCGCUCGAGGUCUCGGAUGCCCAGCCCGCCAUAUGCGAGCGGCCGGCAGACCGUGCGCCAGUUCACGUGGCAGUGUCCUCCAAGCGCGGCCUCGCGACCAGCCCAGAGAAAGCCACGAUGGAUCUUCUCUAGUUGCUUCAGAGUCUUCUUCGGGGGCGCUAAGGCAAGCAUCUGGUGAGUUGGAAUCGCGGUGAGGACUGAUUUAACCAGUGCCAGCUGCCCGGCCUUGUUCAUGAGCCAUGCUUUCCAUGACGGGAGGCGGCCUGCCACUGCGUCGACCAGCGGCUGCAUCUGUGCCUCUGAGGGUCAGCGGGAUGCCCAGGUAGGUGAUGGGCAGGUCCGCCGACUGGCAGCCCAGCGCCUCCAGCAAGGCGGCGCCAUCCUCGUCGCCAUGCAGGGUCAUGGCCGAGCUCUUGCCGUAGUUGACCUGCAGGCCCGAUGCGGUCUCAAAGAUACCCAGAAUGCUCUUCACAGCGAGCACCUCAUCCAUCUCAACAUGGGAAAACAGCAUCACAUCGUCGGCAUAUAGAGAAAUGGCCGGGAUGUUGCAGCAUGGGAAAACAGCAUCACAUCGUCGGCAUAUAGAGAAAUGGCCGGGAUGUUGCGGCGGGGGUGCAGGCGCCGAAGGAUGCCGGUCUGGAGCGCCCGUUGCAUGAGGCGGGCAAGCGCGUCGACUGCCAGGACAAAUAGCUGCGGUGAUGUGGAGUCGCCUUGGCGCAGCCCACGACGGUGCCAGAUCGGCGGGCCAGGCACUCCAUUGAGCAUGACUCGUGUGCUGGCCGAAGAUAAGAGAAUGGCCAGCCAUUCCCUGAACCUGUACCCGAACCCAUAUUGGCGCAGAACCUCGAAGAGGAACGGCCAGGAUAUGGAGUCGAAAGCCCGCGUGAGAUCGAGCUUGAGCAUAAUGCACGGCGCGCCCAGGUGAUGGAGCAUCCGAAGAGACUGCCGGACGAGCAUAAAAUUGUCGUGGAGCGUGCGUCCGGUGAUGAAGGCGUUCUGGUUGCGGCUCACCAGGCUGUCAAGCUUAGGAGCGAUGCGCAACGACAGAACCUUCGCGAAUAUCUUGGCCACGAUGUGUAUCAGGCAAAUCGGCCGGUAGUGCUGUUAAGUGGAUGCUGCAGUGGGCUAAAUCCCUUUCUAUUUUUAGUUUGCUUGUGCACACUACGCUAUAUGUCUGUGUGCACUGGAUUCCUUGUUGCGUCCAUGAGAAUUGUCGCCUUAUUUCAUUUUAUUUACUGUGUGGUAUGAAUUGCUUGGCAUUUAUCGCUAGGUGAGUUGGUUCAAGUGGUAGCUAUGAAUUUAAUUUUCUAGUUUGUUGCAUUUAUUAAGACGCUCUUUCCUGCUGCAAAUUUGAAUUGCAGGUGAACGAAGCUGUGGUCAGUGGAUGGCUCUUCUUCCGCUAUUUAGUCAUUGGUGGUAUGCACUAAGUGCCUGUAUCGACAUUUGUUAUCUGGAGUUAUUUUUGUUUCUUAUAGUUUUGUUAAUGCAGCUUAUGUUGGUCUUGCCACUAUAGCGGGGUUUGUUUGGUGGUUUGUUUAUUCUGAAGAUGGUCCUAGAUUACCAUACUCUGAAUUGGUAAGUUGGGAAACUCUCUACUUUUUGCAUUGUUUAUUUUUGGGUAAGUCUGAAACAGCAGUAACACUUGUACCUGAUAAACAGAAAAGGGGUCCCCCCCCCCUCCCCAAAGUUUAUACUUCAAAAGAUAUUGCUGUAGACUGUAGUGUAGUGUAGUAUACUUCUUUUGCACUGAUUAUCAAAUACCUCUGCUGUUGGUAACUGCUUGCCUAUCUCAUUGGGUUGCAUUUUCUAGGAGAUCUUGGUCAACAUGCUUGAGUGAGUCUUUCUAAGAAAUCUUAUAUUUGUUUUCCAAAAAGGAAAACGGCCACUCCGAGCCCUACUGUCAAAUUUGCAUAUUGGAACAAAAUAUACAUAAGACGUCGAAAUCCUUUCUAUAUGAUUUUCCCUAAAUAGCACCAUGAGUAACAUAGCAUGUGAUAAUAGAUGUGCAUUUCAAGUUACGAAACAACUGGUUCUUGCUGAGAUCAGCUUAUACAAAGAGAUUCCUUUGUUGGGUCUAAUGUUAGAUGGACAGACCAAUAAUGGAGUUUCAAGCUGUCAAUUCAUAUGGCUGUUUGGAUCCCAGGGAUUAAAAGAAGAAAAAUGCUUACAUAUACAUCCGGAGCUGGUUAGGAAUAGCCUUUCUCCUGGUCAGAUUUUAUUGUAAAUUCGAGCAUCUAAUUUAGAGUUUGACUUGUCUCUCCUGGUUUACUCGUCCAUCAAAAUUUUAAAAAAACUUUAAUCUGAAUUGAAGGUGGUACAUUCCUCUGGAUCUUACUGCGAUGGUUGGUUAUGGCUUAGACUUUUACCCAUUCGUACCACAUAAUCAUAUUUCACUUGCAUAUUUGAAUAGUUCAGUUCUGUAUGUUUGAGAGUUCUGAACGUGAAGUCACCAAUAGAUUUUUGUAUGGUUCCUCUCCCUCCAUGCCUGCUUUCCUUAUGGUAUAUUUUUCCCUUUACUUUUUUUGAAGCUUCUUAUUGUGGCUCUUAUUCAAAAAUUACUGAUUCUGUAAGUUCUGAAUAUCUUUCUUUUCCUAUGGCAGGUCAAUUUUGAUUCAUGUUCAACCAGGCAAACUUCAUAUCCUUGCAGCAUCUUUGAGGAUCGCCAUCCAUCAACUGUUUCAAUGACUGUUCUUGUUGUUGUCGAGAUGUUUAAUGCCUUGAAUAACCUAAGUGAAAAUCAAUCCCUACUGUAAGAUCCCUUUAUCUCUCAUCUCAUUUUAAGCCUCAGCCCCCCCGGUCCCCCAAAUAGCAGGCACACAAUGGCCAUACUCCCAUGUGCUACUUCUAAUGAGCAGGAAACAGUUGGUUUUCAUCGGUGAUUUUAUUCUUUUUUGCAUUUUUUCUCAUCUGAUCGACUUGUAAAUGAAUAAAUAUAUUUAUUAUCUUAAUUUGUGGAAGGUAAUCUUACUCGUCUGCUUAACAUGUUUAUCAAUCUAAUUUCCCAUGUAAUAGACAUGCCAAUACUUUUUUUUUUUUUNNNNNNNNNNNNNNNNNNNNNNNNNNNNNNNNNNNNNNNNNNNNNNNNNNNNNNNNNNNNNNNNNNNNNNNNNNNNNNNNNNNNNNNNNNNNNNNNNNNNNNNNNNNNNNNNNNNNNNNNNNNNNNNNNNNNNNNNNNNNNNNNNNNNNNNNNNNNNNNNNNNNNNNNNNNNNNNNNNNNNNNNNNNNNNNNNNNNNNNNNNNNNNNNNNNNNNNNNNNNNNNNNNNNNNNNNNNNNNNNNNNNNNNNNNNNNNNNNNNNNNNNNNNNNNNNNNUUUUUUUUUUUUUGUGAAAUUUGGAACACAAAAAAGAAAUACAUUUAUGCUAUUUCUGCAUAACCUAAGCGGGUUAUUUUUAUGUAUUUCAUUUUAGGUGGCAUGUGUACAUUGUUGCUUAUUACAUAUUCCUAUACAUCAAAACUUUGUUCUCCCACAAACCAUUGAAAACCACCCAGAAAAUUGGUUUUCAAAACCUGUUGUGCACAAAUAUAUAGAAUAAUUGGUACUCACUCCGUUCACAAAUAUAAGAUNNNNNNNNNNNNNNNNNNNNNNNNNNNNNNNNNNNNNNNNNNNNNNNNNNNNNNNNNNNNNNNNNNNNNNNNNNNNNNNNNNNNNNNNNNNNNNNNNNNNNNNNNNNNNNNNNNNNNNNNNNNNNNNNNNNNNNNNNNNNNNNNNNNNNNNNNNNNNNNNNNNNNNNNNNNNNNNNNNNNNNNNNNNNNNNNNNNNNNNNNNNNNNNNNNNNNNNNNNNNNNNNNNNNNNNNNNNNNNNNNNNNNNNNNNNNNNNNNNNNNGUUCACAAAUAUAAGAUGUUUUGGAUAUUUCAAUAUGGCUACAAAACGAGUGAAUAAACACACUAAAACAUGUCUACAUACAUUCGAAUAAGAAAAAGUUAGAACAUCUUAUAUUUGUGAACAGAGGGAGUAGCAUUCUGUCUUCUUUUUACAACUGCAAGAGCCAGCUACUUGGUUUUGUUUGGACCCUUUUAUAUUAUUUUUUAAAACGUUCUGAAAACAGUGACGAUGAACUAGAUGCUAAAGUAUGAAUGAAACAAGAGGUGGAAAUAUAGAUGGAAGUUAAUACGUUUCAAAUAAAUGUGGUCUCCACAGCUGUAAUAACUGUAUUUAUUUAUCGUAUGGUAUUGGUGGGUCAGCACUUCACUGCCCCAACCACUGGUUGAUGGCUGAAUAUUUUUGCUUGUGGCACCUGCAGAAUAUUUGUGUACUAAUUUCUGCCCCAGUGGAACUUGUCGUUUAGGGUUGUCUAGCUCUAUGUUCUCUGUUUUUGUUGUGCCUUUCUUUGGUGUCUAAAACUCUUUCUAUCUUAAUAGAUACAAAUGCAUCUCUCCUGGAUGAUCUUGAAAUUUCUUUCUCCGACCAGUGGCACUUGUCCUGGCCUGUAUAUGUAAAUUAAUUUGCUUAACCUGAAAUGAUUUUGGCACUUCCCUUGUGUCAGUGUCAUUCACCCAUGGAGUAACCUAUGGCUUGUUGGGUCAAUCAUUCUGACAAUGCUUCUUCACGUAGCAGUCUUGUAUACGGAACCCCUGUCGUCUCUUUUCUCAGUAAGUCACAUUGUCACCUAUUCUUUAUAGUAAGCUUACAAUAAUGCCAAAGAAAUAUUGGUAAUCGUGGUUUACUUAUGCAGGUAUCUCCAUUAACUUUGGCUGAGUGGAAAGUUGUUCUUUAUCUAUCCUUCCCUGUGAGUGUUUUUUCUACCUUGAGUUGCCAUGUUCAAAUUUCCGAUGAACCUAGUCUUUCUAUAUUGAAACAUACAUGGGAAUUUUGCCCCAACUUAUAUUUUGUUAACACUGUUGCUAGUUAUGAACUGGAUACCAUAUAUGUUCCAUUUGCACAUGUAUAUAACUUCUCCUUGGCCGCUAGGUAAUUUUGAUUGAUGAGGUGUUGAAAUUUUUCUCAAGAAGACCUCGAGGUAUGUUCUCCUCUAACGGCAGGUUUUUUUUUAACUUUUAGUUCUGCUGCAAAUGCUUACCAGUUACUGUACUAUUGUUUUAGUCAGCCAGAGCUAAUCAUUUUGUUAUUUCCAGCUUGGAGUUUUCCUUUACGGUUAUGGAGACGUGAGAUGCUUCCAAAAGAAGCCCGGGAUAAUUAAUUUUAGGACUAAGAAAGCUGUGCUUGAUAUAGCAUGAAGCUUGACUUUGGUCACGGUGAAACUAAUUUUGGCUAAUUUAUUUGGGCUUGAAAGCUGACAAACAUUUGUAGAAAGUUUGUAUACCUCCUUCCGUGAAUUGUGUCAAACAGAUAUUGACAGGAACUAUGUAAUUUUAAUGUAUGAAAAGAUGAGUAGAGAGCAGUUUUGAAUGUGUCUCGUAAGAAAUUGUUAUAUAUAGCCACAAGGUUCGAACUUGCAACAUCUACAGGCGGACUUAGCAAAUGUGACCUGUCCGUUUUGAGCCCUUAUUUUUUCGUCCGUGCACCCGCAUUUUUAUAUUAUUUUCUCAUAUGUCCGUUCACGUGAUUUGGGAUGGGGUCGCAUCCUACGUGGUGGACUGACCGGCCGUGGACGUGUUCAUGAGUCUUUGUAUCAUCUUCAUAUUUGAGAUGGAUAUGAAGGGUGACAGUUCAGACGUUUGAGACGAAUACAAAGGGUAUGGUUAAGUCGUGUUUUUGUGAUCGAUCAUUGAUUGGACGGUUUGUCCGAAUAUCAUCCUUAAAUUUGAGAUGGAUAUGAGGGGUAACAGUCAGUUCAGACGUUUGAGACGAAUAUAAAAGGUAUGGUUGAGUCGUGUAUUUGUGAUCGAUCAUUGAUUGAACGGUCUGUCCGAACAUUUUGAGACGGACAUAAGCUCUUACAAGACACGAGCUCAUAAUUCCAUAGACUUGUAUUUUCUUUUCGAGAUUGACUAUUCAAGGCAUGAGUAGUCCGGUUAUAUAUGCUCUUAUAAGACACGAGCUCAUAAUUUCAUAGGCAUGUAUUUUCCUUCGAGAUUGACUAUUCCAAUUCGAAGAUGACUUGCAGUUGGUACAAGUUAUAUGAAACGUACAUGAGACGCAAAAAAAAUUAUACAGGAAGGCAUCGAUCUUUUGUCCAAAAGGACCACCUGUUCAACGAAAUUGCUACCCCUUUGGUUGAAACUGGUAGAAAUGACCCCCGGGUCAUGGUGGCAUGUGUGCCAGCCGAUACAUGGUACCUGCCGCCACGAUCGAAGGUGACAACACUGUUCACACAAGGAAUUGUUUUCGCUCAGAAAAAUGAAUUUCGCUAUGGAUGAACAUUUUUUUUCAAAAAAAUAAAAAAAUAGCAGAAAAAAUAAAGAAAACUGAUUUUUUGGCAGCAUGUUUUUUGCUAGGGAUGAACAUGUUUUUUGCUAAAUUUUUUUUUCAAAAAUAUUGUUUAUCUUGGGCAAACAAUGCUGUUGUCGCGCCCAAGUGAACAGUGCUGCCGCCUCUGGACGUGGCGGCAGGUGCCACGUAUCGGCUGGCGCGCCUGCCGCCACGACCCAAGAGGUAUUUUAUGUCAAUUUCAUCUAGAAGGGGUCUUUUUUAGCAAUUCGGUUGUGCAGGUGGCCUUAUUUGAUAAAAACUCGAAGGCACCCACUACUAGUGUCCACUCUGUGUAGCCACACGGUGUAUAGAGUGGGCUGCGUUCCACCCUGGAUUUUUGAUCUUGCAUGUAAGAUGGACCGAAGGAGGAAAGAAGCCCAGCAAAGAUAGGAAGAGCCGCGUGAAAAGCAAGGCCGCAGCCGCCACACAAACACGGCCUGCUCCACCCCGGAAUUUUUGUCUUGCAUGUAACAUGGGUCGGAGGAGGAAAGAAGCCCAACAAAUAUAGAAAGAGCCGGCCGCAGCCGCCGCACGAACACGACUGACACAUCCAUGCAGACACAACCACUUUCUCUCUCGAUUCCGAUCCGCCACCAGCUCAACGCCUGCUUCCCGUCGCGGCAUCGUCUUGCCGGCCACCCUACCGCCUGCCCUGGAUUGGCCUUUCGUGUGCAUGAUGAAAGUGAACAGUCUAGCAACGGGGAAACUUCAUUGAGCUAUUGAAAUGACUAGCAACAAAUAGUGAGGGGAUGAAUAAGUAUGUCUUGAAGAAUGCACCAGGUAAUUGCAAAUUGACUUCUCAUCAAAUACAAAAUCAGAUUAUUCAAUGUUGUGCACUACACACUAGAAAUAAAAUUAUUGGACAAGUUGGUGAUGAUCAUUACGCUAUUCUAGCUGAUGAGUCUAGUGUUGUAUCACAUAAAGGACAACUAGCUCUAUGCUUGCGUUUUGUUGAUAAAGUAGGAAGGAUGAGUGAGGACUUUCUUGGAGUUGUUCAUGUAAGUAACACUACUGCAUUGUCUCUUAAGGAAGCAAUUGAAACUUUACUUGUCAAUCAUGGUUUAACUGUAAGUCAAAUUUGUGGGCAAGGUUAUGAUGGGGCUAGCAAUAUGAGAGGAGAAAUUAAAGGAUUGAAAAUAUUGAUCAUGAAAGAGUCACCUUCUGCCUAUUACAUCCAUUGCUUUGCACAUCAACUCCAACUAGUUCUUGUUGUUGCCAAGGGAAAUGAUGACUUGUGUGGUUUUUUGAUCGAGUGUAUUUAUUGUUGAACAUUAUUGGAGUUUCUUGUAAGCGUCAUGACAUGCUUAGAGAUGCUAGAUUUCAUACUAUCAUGAAACUACUUGAAUGUGGUGAGUUACAAACUCGGAGUGGCUUGAAUCAAGAGAUGGGGUCACCUAGGCCUGGUGAUACUAGGUAGGGCUCUCAUUAUAAUUAUGUUCUCAACAUUAUUGCUAUAUAUCCCACAAUUGAUGAUGUAAUCAUCACUCUUGGACAAUAUGCUACACAAAGGAGUGAUUGGCCAAGAAUCCACACUAUUGUUGGAGUGUUUGAGUCAUUUGACUUUAUUUUCAAUGCCCACUUGAUGCUUGUCAUUUUCGGAUACACAAGUGAUUUGUCUGAUUGUUUGCAAACAAGAGACCAAGACAUUCUUUCUGCAAUGGCAAUCGAUAGAUUGGCAAAAGAUAGAAUACAAUAGCUGAGGUCUAAUAGGUGGGGUGCAUUUCUUCAAAAGGUCACACUAUUUUGUAACAAGCAUAGCAUUCAAGUUCCUACAAUGGAAGAUAAUUAUGUGCCUUAUGGAAGAUCAACACGGUUUGUUCGACCGCAUACAAAUGAUUAUCGCUUUAGAAAAGAAGUUUUUCUUGAAUUAAUUUAUCAAAUUAGUCAAGAGCUUGAAAAUCGGUUUGACGAUAUCAAUAUGGAGUUGCUAUCUUGUAUGUCUGCUUUGAAUCAUACUAAAUCAUUUGCUGCUUUUGAUGCAGACAAGGUACACGAACUUGCAGAGUUCUAUCCUGAAGACUUUUCAAGUGCUGACUUGAUACACCUUAAACUACAAAUUGAUAACUAUAUGAUUUAUGACAUGAGAAAAUAUGAGAACUUCCAAGGCCUUAGAAAUCUUGUUGAUCUUUCAGUCAAGCUUGUUCAAACAGGCAGGCAUAUAGUCCAUAAAUUUGCGUACUUGCUUUUAAAAUUGGUAUUGAUUCUACCAGUGGCAACGAGGAAUGUUGAGAGAGCAUUUUCUGCUAUGAGUUUAGUCAAGAACAAGUUAAGAAAUAAGAUGUGUUUUUGGAUGAUUGCCACAUACAUUGAGCGGGAUAUUCUCUCCAAGGUAAAUAAAGAUGCUAUAAUUGAUACUUUCAUGGGCAUGCAAAAGCGUAGUCCGGAAACAUAGUCUUCUUUGGAUUCUCAAGGUAUGUAGUACGUACUAUUAAGUCUUCUUUUACGCAAAACUGGGACAUAAUUAAAUUUUUUAGUGUAUUUAUAAAACCAUAUUGAUCUAUUUAUAUAUGUUAUUGAUAAUUAGUUAGAUCGUUCACAUGUCGUGUUUGUUGUUAAAUUUUUUGGAAGCGGCCCACCCUGCUAGCUCCGUCACUGUCCACCUCCAGGGCCGCAGGACGAACCCCGAUCGACGCCACCAACCACCACCAUCGAUCGGAUCUAGGCAGGAGACCUGGGAUCCGCCGCUACCACGCCCCAGCCCGUGCCCAGACGAGCUGCAGGGCAACAGGAGCAAGGUCGUGCCGACCGGGCCACCACAACGCUGGAGAGAGAGCGCUGAAGCCAGGAAUGGACCAGUGCCCCGUGUCGUUGAUAUGCGAGCAGUGCCCUGCGCUACCCCGCAUCUGCCAGGGAGGAAGGCCGCCCCGCCGCCGCCCACAUCAUGAGGGCUUUGCCCGGGCAGCGCCCGUUGGCGGCGGUGAGGGGAGGAGGGGCGGGGAGGGCUCUCCCAGGUCGCCCGUGGGGGGCGCGACACGGGAGUCCUGAAGUGAAAUUUGUGCUAGCUGGCUCUGAACUGUACGUGUUAUGUUCGUGGCUUGUACUUCCUUCACUUUUAAAUAUAAAACCUUUUAAAGAUUUUACUAUAAACUACAUUAGAAAUAGAGGGGGUAUUUUUUAUUGGAGGCUCAUACCCAAUGUUGCUUCACAUCUUAAAUUAAGGUCAUAUCAUGCAGCAAGCCUGUGACAAUUUAGCCAGUCAAGGUUUAAAGCGUUUGUAAUGCCCAUUUUCAUGCACCAGAAUGAAGAUUUUGUAAAUUGUAUUGUGAAUUAACUAGUAAAAGAGCCUGAGUGUUGCAAUGGAAUAUAUUUUUAUCACACAUCCCUAAUCCAAUAACCAUGACUUAAGACGUCAUAUUUCAACAUGGCAUCUCAUAGGUGUUACUGUUUAUCCUCCUUCCCAUCUUCACCGACUGUGACAUCAGUGUUUACAAAACCACAACGUGUUUGAAUGUGGUCAAUUACAAGGCGUAUCUCUCACUCUCAUUCUCGGCAAAAGAUGAGAAAUUUGCUGUUUUUUUCCUGCGAGGUUUUGUCAACACAUUCAUGUGUGGUUAUUUAUAAUUCUGCACUUGUACCAUCAUGACAAGCAUGAAUGCCAAGUUUCAUAGCUUUUUAACAAUGUAUGCAUUUUAUACAAUUUUACGGAUGAAAAAACCCUAAAACAACGCCUGGACGUGAUGCAACGUGCGUAUGUUGUCGGAACUUGAUCACAAUUUGCAUUGAGUAUUCUGUUGGGCAUGCCAACCCGCUUGCAAAAUAUACGGUCAUUCUCAAGAUGAUCAAAAAUUGAUCUUCUUCUGCCGAGGUCUUUCGGGUAGGAGCGAAGGGCCCGUCGCCAAGCACGUUUUUUUCGACAUCCUCCAAAUGCUCUUUUUUAUACACUUAUACCAUCAUGACAAGCAUAUAUAACCAUGUUUCAUAGCUUUUCAACAGUGUAUGCAUUUUAUACAAUUNNNNNNNNNNNNNNNNNNNNNNNNNNNNNNNNNNNNNNNNNNNNNNNNNNNNNNNNNNNNNNNNNNNNNNNNNNNNNNNNNNNNNNNNNNNNNNNNNNNNNNNNNNNNNNNNNNNNNNNNNNNNNNNNNNNNNNNNNNNNNNNNNNNNNNNNNNNNNNNNNNNNNNNNNNNNNNNNNNNNNNNNNNNNNNNNNNNNNNNNNNNNNNNNNNNNNNNNNNNNNNNNNNNNNNNNNNNNNNNNNNNNNNNNNNNNNNNNNNNNNNNNAUGCAUUUUAUACAAUUAUAUGGAUGAAAAAACCAAAAAGACGCACGUGCAUAACGCAACGUGCGUUUGGUCUUUAUUUUUUGUCAAAAUCUUGAUGGGGCCAUUCUUUGGCCAUGCACACCUGGUUGCAAUUUUUUUUAUUUUAUUAAACACUUAAUUAUUAUGUAAUGUAAAUAAGCUCAAUAAGUAAACAUAAACAUAUUGUAUUUUACAUAGUUUAUGACGAUUUUCGAUUCAAUUCAAUUAAAACUAUAGAAAACAAAUUAAAACCAGUUAAUAAGCAACUAAUAAAAUAUUAAAACAUUACAUAAUUCAUAAAAGCAACACAAUUUCGUUCAUAUUUUAGGAUAUCUUGCAUCAUUUAUUGAACAAAAUUUUGCAUUCGAAAUGUAAAACGACGAAAUAAAACAUAACUACCCCUAAUCGCUAUUGACAAGAUCCACAACUUCUGGAGCACCACCGUUGCUGCCGACGUCUUCGAUGCUGUCUGAGUCGUCAAAUGCGUCGGAACCGCCGAAGUGCACAAAAACUUUUCAUUUGACAUCGCCUCCCGCGCUAGCGUAUACGUCGAAUUCCUUAUCGCCUGCCACAUAACUCCGGUUCGUCCGCCAGAUCCCUCGGGUCAACGAACCCAGGUCGUCUCCCUUGUUGAGUCUCGGAUCAUGCGAAUUAACCCCGGUGACUCCAAGGGAUCUCCGUCCUCUUGCAUCGCAGCAAGCUCGGGCGGAAUGAUCAACAGUGGCUCGACUGGGGCCGUGGCGGGAGCGGCUGGGGGUGGGGNGGGGGGGGCACGUGCUCGGCGGACCGAACGCAGGGCCGGGACGGUAGGGGGCACCACGGGAGCGUUUUGCCUGUCGAAGCGAAGGCCCCGGGACUUGUAGAAGGUGACGACGGUGUCGAAAUCGCGACCCUCCAUAAACCCUUGGCGGUCCUCGAGAUUCCAUGGGCCUACUUGAGCAGGGCCCGGCGUGGCGUAGUCAUNNNN